This 170-nucleotide unclassified non-coding RNA is filed under the name uncultured Sebacina. RNAcentral's name for it is "sequence contains ITS1". Lineage: Eukaryota; Fungi; Basidiomycota; Agaricomycetes; Sebacinales; Sebacinaceae. The record is from RNAcentral.
UUGAUUGCGAAUCGUUGCCUUCAGUGCUGGCCAGCUCGCCUGGCAAGUGCACGUCGGUGCGUUCAUCCAAUACCCUGUGCACCCUUGGCCUCUGCUAGCUUCGGCCGGCAGAGGAUUUUUAUACCUACUCGAAUGUAAUGAAAUUAUUGUCGUGCGCAAGCACUAAUGUA